RNAcentral lists this unclassified non-coding RNA (170 nucleotides) under soil metagenome. Its description in RNAcentral is "partial contains 5.8S ribosomal RNA, internal transcribed spacer 2, and large subunit ribosomal RNA". The record is from RNAcentral.
AACCUAGCACACCUGCGGUGUGUACCUGCGGAAGGAUCAUAACUGGUUAAACUUUAUAAACACCAGAGUUUCAAACUCUGUGUUUGCAAACAAAAAAACACCCUUCAAAACAGCUAUUCAGUGUCUGAAUUAACUAGUUUAAUAUAAAAACAACUUUCAGCAAUGGAUCU